GACGAACGCUGGCGGCGUGCUUAACACAUGCAAGUCGAACGGAAAGGCCCUGCUUUUGUGGGGUGCUCGAGUGGCGAACGGGUGAGUAACACGUGAGUAACCUGCCCUUGACUUUGGGAUAACUUCAGGAAACUGGGGCUAAUACCGGAUAGGAUCUCCUGCUGCAUGGUGGGGGUUGGAAAGUUUCGGCGGUUGGGGAUGGACUCGCGGCUUAUCAGCUUGUUGGUGGGGGAGUGGCUUACCAAGGCUUUGACGGGUAGCCGGCCUGAGAGGGUGACCGGCCACAUUGGGACUGAGAUACGGCCCAGACUCCUACGUGAGGCAGCAGUGGGGAAUAUUGCACAAUGGGCGGAAGCCUGAUGCAGCAACGCCGCGUGCGGGAUGACGGCCUUCGGGUUGUAAACCGCUUUCGCCUGUGACGAAGCGUGAGUGACGGUAAUGGGUAAAGAAGCACCGGCUAACUACGUG
This 468-nucleotide ribosomal RNA is filed under the name uncultured bacterium. RNAcentral's name for it is "partial 16S ribosomal RNA". It matches the Rfam family "Bacterial small subunit ribosomal RNA", at positions 28 to 507 of the family's 1533-position model. The record is from RNAcentral.